RNAcentral lists this ribosomal RNA (467 nucleotides) under uncultured bacterium. Its description in RNAcentral is "partial 16S ribosomal RNA". It matches the Rfam family "Bacterial small subunit ribosomal RNA", at positions 28 to 506 of the family's 1533-position model. The record is from RNAcentral.
GACGAACGCUGGCGGCGUGCUUAACACAUGCAAGUCGAACGGAAAGGCCCUGCUUUUGUGGGGUGCUCGAGUGGCGAACGGGUGAGUAACACGUGAGUAACCUGCCCUUGACUUUGGGAUAACUUCAGGAAACUGGGGCUAAUACCGGAUAGGAGCUCCUGCUGCAUGGUGGGGGUUGGAAAGUUUCGGCGGUUGGGGAUGGACUCGCGGCUUAUCAGCUUGUUGGUGGGGUAGUGGCUUACCAAGGCUUUGACGGGUAGCCGGCCUGAGAGGGUGACCGGCCACAUUGGGACUGAGAUACGGCCCAGACUCCUACGGGAGGCAGCAGUGGGGAAUAUUGCACAAUGGGCGGAAGCCUGAUGCAGCAACGCCGCGUGCAGGAUGACGGCCUUCGGGUUGUAAACCGCUUUCGCCUGUGACGAAGCGUGAGUGACGGUAAUGGGGAAAGAAGCACCGGCUAACUACGU